Molecule: non-coding RNA, 573 nt
Filed under: Spiraea betulifolia
Lineage: Eukaryota; Viridiplantae; Streptophyta; Magnoliopsida; Rosales; Rosaceae
Description: partial transfer RNA-Leu(UAA)
Rfam family: Group I catalytic intron (bases 1-498)
About the family: Group I catalytic introns are large self-splicing ribozymes. They catalyse their own excision from mRNA, tRNA and rRNA precursors in a wide range of organisms.
Source: RNAcentral
UUAAUUGGAGGAGCUUGGUAUGGAACCUACCAAGUGAAAACUUUCAAAUUCAGAGAAACCCUGGAAUUAAAAAUGGGCAAUCCUGAGCCAAAUCCUGUUUUAUGAAAACAAGCAAGGGUUUCAUAAACUCAUAAACGAGAAUAAAAGAGGAUAGGUGCAGAGACUCAAUGGAAGCUGUUCUAACAAAUGGAGUUGACUGCAUUGUGUUAGUAAAGGAAUCCUUCCAUCGAAACUUCAGAAAGUAUGAAGGAUAAACUUAAAGACAUACAUAUAGUACUGAAAUACUAUCUCAAAAUGAUUAAUGACGACCCGAAUCUGUAUUUUUUUUAUAUUUAUAUGAAAAAUGAAAGAAUUGUUGUGAAUCGAUUCAAAAUUGAAAAAAGAAUCGACUAUUCAUUGAUCAAAUCAUUCACUCCAUCAUAGUCUGAUAGGUCUUUUUAAGAAUUAAUUAAUCGGACGAGAAUAAAGAUAGAGUCCCAUUAUACAUGUCAAUACCGACAACAAUGAAAUUUAUAGUAAGAGGAAAAUCCGUCGACUUUAGAAAUCGUGAGGGUUCAAGUCCCUCUAUCCCCA